Molecule: long non-coding RNA, 1173 nt
Organism: Oncorhynchus tshawytscha (Chinook salmon)
Lineage: Eukaryota; Metazoa; Chordata; Actinopteri; Salmoniformes; Salmonidae
Exons: 3
Source: RefSeq, a predicted model, not a curated record
CUUCAAAAUGAGAAGAUCCUGCCAUGGAAAAGAUGACUGGGUGGACAUGAAGUGGAAAGGAGGGGAAAUAACUCACACCAUGCAGCAGGACACCUUCAGCUGUGGGGUCUUUGUAAUGCAGGUUUGAUAGUUAUAUUUUCAAUAAUGAAUGGUUAGCUGUUAUGUGACAAUUAGGUCCAUUUUUUUUAGAGUAGAUUGCCAAGGAAGUUGCACAGAACUUUCCCAACAUCCCCUCCCAAAUUGACAUAGAACCUUCACAAAACCACAUGGAGCAACUGCGAAAAGAAAUGGCUGAAGGAUAUACUAAAAAUGGCUGAGUUCAACAAAGCCAACAACUGCUUCAUGUGUACCACUGAUAAAGAACCUGGAUGUGGGCCAAAGACUGACUGGAUUGAAAGUUUUGCAUACCAACGGGGAGGGGGUUCCCAUGUGCUGUGCCUAGGAAUGAAGACAAGAGUUCAGAGUGAAGAACACAAACUGGAAGUGCUGUCUUUGUUGUUGAAAGUGUAUGCUAUACCCCAUCCACACUGAAGAGGCUCUGAAAUGUACAUCAACCAGGGAUAAAGAGAAAGAUAACACUGAAAUGUUUUGUACUUAUUUAAAGGUAAGUGUCUGUUGACAUGUUGGAAAAGAUUACAGGUCUACAAUUUCUGUUUAAUUUGUCAAAUUUAAAUUUUUAUUCAUUGAUUUUCUGGCCACCACUACUGUGGUUACAUGUUCAGUAUAUGUAUUGACCAGCUAACCCACUGCAGCCUACCUCACUAGCUCACUGGCCAACCUUGCUUUGGACAAUUAAUAGCAUGACUCUCGAACUUUGCCCUUUUCCUUUAUGAUUGAUAUUAACGAUGAAAGGAGAUAUUAUCUGUCUCUCUCCUAUUGUGUACUGCUGUUAAAUACAGUGGCAAAAAAAAAAGGUAAAGUAAGUACUUAGAACAACCAAUUAUUAUAGAUAAAUAUUCAUGAAAAGGGUUAACACAACACUGGACUGAACCCCCUAAUUUUCAAACUAAUAUUAAUAUACAACAAUAUAGAAGAUACAUGACGAGAAGUUAUGCAAUAUGGGUGUAUAUCCACUGCAUGCUUCUUAGGUGUGUAACUGACAUGACCAAGGAGCUAUUGAUAUUUUCAAGUUUGAAAAAUGUAUGUAAAAUUGAGUGAGAUGAAAAUGGACAA